This 1360-nucleotide ribosomal RNA is filed under the name Escherichia coli. Its description in RNAcentral is "partial 23S ribosomal RNA". It matches the Rfam family "Bacterial large subunit ribosomal RNA", at positions 165 to 1569 of the family's 2925-position model. Lineage: Bacteria; Pseudomonadati; Pseudomonadota; Gammaproteobacteria; Enterobacterales; Enterobacteriaceae. The record is from RNAcentral.
CAUAGGUUAAUGAGGCGAACCGGGGGAACUGAAACAUCUAAGUACCCCGAGGAAAAGAAAUCAACCGAGAUUCCCCCAGUAGCGGCGAGCGAACGGGGAGCAGCCCAGAGCCUGAAUCAGUGUGUGUGUUAGUGGAAGCGUCUGGAAAGGCGCGCGAUACAGGGUGACAGCCCCGUACACAAAAAUGCACAUACUGUGAGCUCGAUGAGUAGGGCGGGACACGUGGUAUCCUGUCUGAAUAUGGGGGGACCAUCCUCCAAGGCUAAAUACUCCUGACUGACCGAUAGUGAACCAGUACCGUGAGGGAAAGGCGAAAAGAACCCCGGCGAGGGGAGUGAAAAAGAACCUGAAACCGUGUACGUACAAGCAGUGGGAGCCUCUUUAUGGGGUGACUGCGUACCUUUUGUAUAAUGGGUCAGCGACUUAUAUUCUGUAGCAAGGUUAACCGAAUAGGGGAGCCGAAGGGAAACCGAGUCUUAACUGGGCGUUAAGUUGCAGGGUAUAGACCCGAAACCCGGUGAUCUAGCCAUGGGCAGGUUGAAGGUUGGGUAACACUAACUGGAGGACCGAACCGACUAAUGUUGAAAAAUUAGCGGAUGACUUGUGGCUGGGGGUGAAAGGCCAAUCAAACCGGGAGAUAGCUGGUUCUCCCCGAAAGCUAUUUAGGUAGCGCCUCGUGAAUUCAUCUCCGGGGGUAGAGCACUGUUUCGGCAAGGGGGUCAUCCCGACUUACCAACCCGAUGCAAACUGCGAAUACCGGAGAAUGUUAUCACGGGAGACACACGGCGGGUGCUAACGUCCGUCGUGAAGAGGGAAACAACCCAGACCGCCAGCUAAGGUCCCAAAGUCAUGGUUAAGUGGGAAACGAUGUGGGAAGGCCCAGACAGCCAGGAUGUUGGCUUAGAAGCAGCCAUCAUUUAAAGAAAGCGUAAUAGCUCACUGGUCGAGUCGGCCUGCGCGGAAGAUGUAACGGGGCUAAACCAUGCACCGAAGCUGCGGCAGCGACACUAUGUGUUGUUGGGUAGGGGAGCGUUCUGUAAGCCUGUGAAGGUGUGCUGUGAGGUAUGCUGGAGGUAUCAGAAGUGCGAAUGCUGACAUAAGUAACGAUAAAGCGGGUGAAAAGCCCGCUCGCCGGAAGACCAAGGGUUCCUGUCCAACGUUAAUCGGGGCAGGGUGAGUCGACCCCUAAGGCGAGGCCGAAAGGCGUAGUCGAUGGGAAACAGGUUAAUAUUCCUGUACUUGGUGUUACUGCGAAGGGGGGACGGAGAAGGCUAUGUUGGCCGGGCGACGGUUGUCCCGGUUUAAGCGUGUAGGCUGGUUUUCCAGGCAAAUCCGGAAAAUCAAGGCUGAGGCGUGAUGA